GAUGAAUGCUGGCGGCGUGCCUAACACAUGCAAGUCGAGCGGUAACAGGUCUAGUUUACUAGAUGCUGACGAGCGGCGGACGGCUGAGUAACGCGUAGGAACGUGCCCCCAAAGUGAGGAAUAACUGCCCGAAAGGGUGGCUAAUGCCGCAUAUGAUCUUCGGAUUAAAGUCUUCGGACGCUUUGGGAGCGGCCUGCGUU
This 200-nucleotide ribosomal RNA is filed under the name uncultured bacterium. RNAcentral's name for it is "partial 16S ribosomal RNA". It matches the Rfam family "Bacterial small subunit ribosomal RNA", at positions 28 to 237 of the family's 1533-position model. The record is from RNAcentral.